AGCAGUAGCCGCGGGAAUACGUAGGGUCCGAGCGUUGUCCGGAAUUACUGGGCGUAAAGAGCUCGUAGGUGGUUUGUCGCGUUGUUCGUGAAAACUCACAGCUCAACUGUGGGCGUGCGGGCGAUACGGGCAGACUAGAGUACUGCAGGGGAGACUGGAAUUCCUGGUGUAGCGGUGGAAUGCGCAGAUAUCAGGAGGAACACCGGUGGCGAAGGCGGGUCUCUGGGCAGUAACUGACGCUGAGGAGCGAAAGCGUGGGGAGCGAACAGGAUUAGAUACCCCCGUAGUCCCUGUCUCUUAUAC
This 303-nucleotide ribosomal RNA is filed under the name uncultured bacterium. RNAcentral's name for it is "partial 16S ribosomal RNA". It matches the Rfam family "Bacterial small subunit ribosomal RNA", at positions 507 to 807 of the family's 1533-position model. The record is from RNAcentral.